AACGAACGCUGGCGGCGCGCCUAAUACAUGCAAGUCGAGCGAGAAGACGUAGCAAUACGUUUGUAAAGCGGCGAACGGGUGAGGAAUACAUGGGUAACCUACCCUCGAGUGGGGAAUAACUAGCCGAAAGGUUAGCUAAUACCGCGUACGCUCCUUGGACUUCGGUUCAGGGAGGAAAGCGAUACCGUGGGUAUCGCGCUCUUGGAUGGGCUCAUGUCCUAUCAGCUUGUUGGUGAGGUAACGGCUCACCAAGGCUUCGACGGGUAGCUGGUCUGAGAGGACGAUCAGCCACACUGGCACUGCGACACGGGCCAGACUCCUACGGGAGGCAGCAGUAAGGAAUAUUGCGCAAUGGGCGAAAGCCUGACGCAGCGACGCCGCGUGGGGGAU
RNAcentral lists this ribosomal RNA (390 nucleotides) under uncultured bacterium. RNAcentral's name for it is "bacterial SSU rRNA". It matches the Rfam family "Bacterial small subunit ribosomal RNA", at positions 29 to 409 of the family's 1533-position model. The record is from RNAcentral.